Long non-coding RNA from Fukomys damarensis (Damara mole-rat), 427 nucleotides. RefSeq lists it as uncharacterized. NCBI's taxonomy places the organism in Eukaryota, Metazoa, Chordata, Mammalia, Rodentia, Bathyergidae. The record is from RefSeq and is a predicted model, not a curated record. The transcript is spliced from 3 exons.
GUUGUCCCCGACUCCCACCGGGUUCCCGGGGCUGCUGCUCGGGCUCUGUUCGCUGCCGCCGCUGUCGCUCGUCGGAGCUGCCAUGGCAUGAUCCGUCCCUCAUAGGGGACAAGGUUUAAACCAAGAUUUUCAGCUUUGAACUUCAAUUAGCUCUGGGCUGACAAGAAAAAUGUCAAAACGGAGUAUGGAGAAGAGAUCCACAGAGCCAGUAGAGCUAGAGUACACUUGUGCUGUUCCUCCCACUGCCCAGUUUCUAGGACGUGUGCCACCUCCAUGCCAAAAAGUGGCUUGAUGCUAAUAUAAAGCGUGAAGGUCCAAACCACUGAUGCAGGAAGGACCACAGGAUAAGUUCAGCUGAAAUUGAAUGCUGUGUUCCUUCUGGAGGCACUGAAGAAGAAUCCAUUCCCGGACUCUCCAGCUUGCAGAG